Molecule: ribosomal RNA, 482 nt
Filed under: uncultured bacterium
Lineage: Bacteria
Description: partial 16S ribosomal RNA
Rfam family: Bacterial small subunit ribosomal RNA
Source: RNAcentral
AUUGAACGCUGGCGGCAUGCUUUACACAUGCAAGUCGAACGGCAGCGCGGGCUUCGGCCUGGCGGCGAGUGGCGAACGGGUGAGUAAUGCAUCGGAACGUGCCCAGUAGUGGGGGAUAGCCCGGCGAAAGCCGGAUUAAUACCGCAUACGACCUGAGGGUGAAAGCGGGGGACCGAAAGGCCUCGCGCUAUUGGAGCGGCCGAUGUCGGAUUAGCUAGUUGGUGGGGUAAGGCUUACCAAGGCGACGAUCCGUAGCUGGUCUGAGAGGACGACCAGCCACACUGGGACUGAGACACGGCCCAGACUCCUACGGGAGGCAGCAGUGGGGAAUUUUGGACAAUGGGGGCAACCCUGAUCCAGCCAUGCCGCGUGCGGGAAGAAGGCCUUCGGGUUGUAAACCGCUUUUGUUCGGGAAGAAAUCCUCUGGGCUAAUACCCCGGGGGGAUGACGGUACCGGAAGAAUAAGCACCGGCUAACUACGU